AGUGGAUUAGCGGCGGACGGGUGAGUAACACGUGGGUAACCUGCCUCAAAGUGGGGGAUAGCCUUCCGAAAGGAAGAUUAAUACCGCAUAACAUAAGAGAAUUGCAUGAUUUUCUUAUCAAAGAUUUAUUGCUUUGAGAUGGACCCGCGGCGCAUUAGCUAGUUGGUAAGGUAACGGCUUACCAAGGCAACGAUGCGUAGCCGACCUGAGAGGGUGAUCGGCCACAUUGGAACUGAGACACGGUCCAGACUCCUACGGGAGGCAGCAGUGGGGAAUAUUGCGCAAUGGGGGAAACCCUGACGCAGCAACGCCGCGUGGGUGAUGAAGGUCUUCGGAUUGUAAAGCCCUGUUUUCUGGGACGAUAAUGACGGUACCAGAGGAGGAAGCCACGGCUAACUACGUGCCAGCAGCCGCGGUAAUACGUAGGUGGCGAGCGUUGUCCGGAUUUACUGGGCGUAAAGGGUGCGUAGGCGGAUGUUUAAGUGGGAUGUGAAAUCCCCGGGCUUAACCUGGGGGCUGCAUUCCAAACUGGAUAUCUAGAGUGCAGGAGAGGAAAGCGGAAUUCCUAGUGUAGCGGUGAAAUGCGUAGAGAUUAGGAAGAACACCAGUGGCGAAGGCGGCUUUCUGGACUGUAACUGACGCUGAGGCACGAAAGCGUGGGUAGCAAACAGGAUUAGAUACCCUGGUAGUCCACGCCGUAAACGAUGGAUACUAGGUGUAGGGGGUAUCAACUCCCCCUGUGCCGCAGUUAACACAAUAAGUAUCCCGCCUGGGGAGUACGGUCGCAAGAUUAAAACUCAAAGGAAUUGACGGGGGCCCGCACAAGCAGCGGAGCAUGUGGUUUAAUUCGAAGCAACGCGAAGAACCUUACCUGGACUUGACAUCCCUUGCAUAGCCUAGAGAUAGGUGAAGCCCUUCGGGGCAAGGAGACAGGUGGUGCAUGGUUGUCGUCAGCUCGUGUCGUGAGAUGUUAGGUUAAGUCCUGCAACGAGCGCAACCCUUGUUAUUAGUUGCUACCAUUAAGUUGAGCACUCUAAUGAGACUGCCUGGGUAACCAGGAGGAAGGUGGGGAUGACGUCAA
RNAcentral lists this ribosomal RNA (1081 nucleotides) under Clostridium sporogenes. RNAcentral describes it as "bacterial SSU rRNA". It matches the Rfam family "Bacterial small subunit ribosomal RNA", at positions 86 to 1188 of the family's 1533-position model. The record is from RNAcentral. Lineage: Bacteria; Bacillati; Bacillota; Clostridia; Eubacteriales; Clostridiaceae.